RNAcentral lists this long non-coding RNA (1899 nucleotides) under Coturnix japonica (Japanese quail). Its description in RNAcentral is "lncRNA (ENSCJPG00005002834.1)". The record is from RNAcentral. Lineage: Eukaryota; Metazoa; Chordata; Aves; Galliformes; Phasianidae.
UGUGGUAAGCCCCCCACAUGGGCAGCGGGCCCACAUUUUGAUCAGGUGGUGAGUUUGGGGGCUGCAGGGUGGGUUGCAGGCUGUCCGCACCGGGUGGCUGUGGGAAAGCUGGCAUUGCCACAAGCUGGCAUUGCCCCAAUGAGGAUGUUCUUGCUUUUCCAGCAGCGACAACAAGCUCAGACAUCCUGGAGGACAUCAACAAACUCCUGACAUCGAUGAACAGCUGUGAGUCUGGGGGCUAUAGAGCUCAAAGGGGGGUGUUGGCACUGAGUGGCUGUGGGAAGGCUGGUGUUGACCCACUGGGGAUGUUCUUGCUUUUCCAGCAGCAACAGCCAAUACUGACAACCUGGAUGACAUCUUGGAUAUGGAUGAUCUGCUCGUGUGGCUCAACAGAGAAGUGGCGAGUCUUCAGGAGGUCCCCCAGCAGAACCAGGACCUGGACAGCCAGAGCAGGGCAGAGCUGCUGCAUUGUAUUAAUGCCACGCAGCCACCAAACCCAGCUGUCCCCAGCCCAACUGAGCUGCAUGCGCCGACAGCCCUGUGCAAUGGCAGCAUCCAGGCCACAAAGAGGAAGCUGCCUCAGGGCCAGGAUGCUCCAGACCCAAAGCACCGGCGCUAGGAGAAGCUGGAAACAGCCCAUGUGGUGCAGCAGGAGACACGGCCAGAGACAGCAGUUAAGGAUCCCUGUAGCCCUGGGCUCCUCGCCGGCUCCUGCAGCAGCAGCGCUCCAGGGGCUCCAACAUCAGCCCCAGCCCUACACCUCCAAACCUGGGCUGUCCACCAACAACACCUUGGACUUUGACUCUAUUAGAUUGUUAUUUUAUGGUACUUUAUGUUGGUUUAUAUUAUGUUAUUUUAUGUUAAAUUCUUUUAUGUUAAACUCUGUUACUUUCUGUUAAAUUACAUUAAAUUAAUUUAAACUAUUAAAUGCUUCGUACCAUGAGAGCUUUCCAUCAUACACUGCAAUCCAUAUCACUGCGGAACGGCACAACUGGUGCCAGGGGAUGGUGCAGGGAUGGGGCACAUGUAAGGAAAUGAUGUUUUAAUUUAUUUCUUUGAUAACUGCAACAGAAACCCUGACAGUCACAGCUGAUUGCAGAAGCUGUUGUCCCAGGAGCGUGAUGCGGUCACCAACUUCAGGGAGGGAAGGCCGUAACCAUCCCCUAUAGGAUGGAGGUGGGGGUGGUGGUGGAGGUGGCGGUCGGCGGGGUCUUUCUGGUGGGUAGAUGGGGCUGGGGGGACGCGGGGGGCGGGGGGGACAUCCGGACAGGACGUCCUGGCAGUUGAGCCCAGUGGUGAAGUCCAACAUCAGCAGAGCAGUGGUGGUGCCACUGCAACCCGUCCCUGUCCCCACUGUCAUCUUCGUGGGACCUCAGGCCUCUGCCCAGCCAUGGGUACGAGGUGUGCAGAGACAGGGAGCGCAGCUGCCACCUGGGGGGCAGCCCCAAACUGUGGUCCAGUUGCCAGCUGGGGGGCUGCCACAAAAGUGUGCUCCAGCAGCCACCUGGGGGCUGCCCCUAAAUGUGACCCCAGCUGCCACCUGUGGGGCUACCCCAAAUGUGAUCACAGAAUCACAGAAUCACGGAAUUGUAGGGGUUGGAAGGGACCUCUAGAGAUCAUCGGGAGUCCAACCCCCUGCCAAAGCAGGCUCCCUACACCAUGUCACACAGGAAGGCGUCCAGGCAGGUCUUAAAUAUCUCCAGAGAAGGAGACUCCACCACCUCCCUGGGCAGCCUGUUCCAUGCUCCGUCACCCUCACUGUAAAGAAGUUCUUCCACACAUUUGUGCGGAACUUCCUAUGCUGUAACUUUCAUCCCAUUACCCCUAGCCCUGUCCCCAUGCACUACUGAAAAGAGACCAGACUCACCACUAUGGCUCCACACCUCAGGUAUUUAUAAC